This 433-nucleotide ribosomal RNA is filed under the name uncultured bacterium. RNAcentral's name for it is "partial 16S ribosomal RNA". It matches the Rfam family "Bacterial small subunit ribosomal RNA", at positions 29 to 507 of the family's 1533-position model. The record is from RNAcentral.
AACGAACGCUGGCGGCAUGCCUAACACAUGCAAGUCGAACGAGACCUUCGGGUCUAGUGGCGCACGGGUGCGUAACGCGUGGGAACCUGCCCUUAGGUUCGGAAUAACUCCCCGAAAGGGGUGCUAAUACCGGAUAAUGUCUUCGGACCAAAGAUUUAUCGCCUUUGGAUGGGCCCGCGUUGGAUUAGCUAGUUGGUAGGGUAAAAGCCUACCAAGGCGACGAUCCAUAGCUGGUCUGAGAGGAUGAUCAGCCACACUGGGACUGAGACACGGCCCAGAAUCCUACGGGAGGCAGCAGUGGGGAAUAUUGGACAAUGGGCGAAAGCCUGAUCCAGCAAUGCCGCGUGAGUGAUGAAGGCCUUAGGGUUGUAAAGCUCUUUUACCCGGGAUGAUAAUGACAGUACCGGGAGAAUAAGCUCCGGCUAACUCUGUG